Molecule: transfer RNA, 73 nt
Organism: Candidatus Competibacter denitrificans Run_A_D11
Lineage: Bacteria; Pseudomonadati; Pseudomonadota; Gammaproteobacteria; Candidatus Competibacteraceae
Rfam family: tRNA
About the family: Transfer RNA (tRNA) molecules are approximately 80 nucleotides in length.
Source: Rfam
GGGGCCAUAGCUCAGCUGGGAGAGCAUCGGCUUUGCAAGCCGGGGGUCGGCGGUUCGAACCCGCCUGGCUCCA